This 253-nucleotide ribosomal RNA is filed under the name uncultured bacterium. Its description in RNAcentral is "partial 16S ribosomal RNA". It matches the Rfam family "Bacterial small subunit ribosomal RNA", at positions 524 to 776 of the family's 1533-position model. The record is from RNAcentral.
GACGAACCGUCCAAACGUUAUUCGGAAUCACUGGGCUUACAGAGUUCGUAGGCGGUCUGGAAAGUUGGGUGUGAAAUCCCUCGGCUCAACCGAGGAACUGCGCUUGAAACUACCAGACUCGAGGGAGAUAGAGGAAAGCGGAACUGAUGGUGGAGCGGUGAAAUGCGUUGAUAUCAGCAGGAACACCGGUGGCGAAGGCGGCUUUCUGGGUCGUACCUGACGCUGAGGAACGAAAGCGAGGGGAGCGAACGGG